RNAcentral lists this ribosomal RNA (474 nucleotides) under uncultured Erysipelothrix sp. RNAcentral describes it as "bacterial SSU rRNA". It matches the Rfam family "Bacterial small subunit ribosomal RNA", at positions 901 to 1382 of the family's 1533-position model. The record is from RNAcentral. Lineage: Bacteria; Bacillati; Bacillota; Erysipelotrichia; Erysipelotrichales; Erysipelotrichaceae.
UUAAAGGAAUUGACGGACCCGCACAAGCGGUGGAUUAUGUUGUUUAAUUCGACGCAACGCGAAGAACCUUACCAGGCCUUGACAUACUCGGCAAAGCUCUAGAGAUAGAGUGGAGGUUAUCCGGGAUACAGGUGGUGCAUGGUUGUCGUCAGCUCGUGUCGUGAGAUGUUGGGUUAAGUCCCGCAACGAGCGCAACCCUUGUCUUUAGUUACCAUCAUUCAGUUGGGGACUCUAGAGAGACUGCCGGUGAUAAACCGGAGGAAGGUGGGGAUGACGUCAAAUCAUCAUGCCCCUUAUGGCCUGGGCUACAAACGUAAUACAAUGGCGUAUACAAAGGGAUGCGAAAGGGUGACCUGGAGCAAAACUCACAAAGUACGUCUCAGUUCAGAUUGGAGUCUGCAACUCGACUCCAUGAAGGCGGAAUCGCUAGUAAUCGCGGAUCAGCAUGCCGCGGUGAAUACGUUCUCGGGGUUU